This 304-nucleotide ribosomal RNA is filed under the name uncultured bacterium. Its description in RNAcentral is "partial 16S ribosomal RNA". It matches the Rfam family "Bacterial small subunit ribosomal RNA", at positions 509 to 807 of the family's 1533-position model. The record is from RNAcentral.
CAGCAGUCGCCGCGGGAAUACGUAGGGUGCGAGCGUUAAUCGGAAUUACUGGGCGUAAAGCGUGCGCAGGCGGUUGUGUAAGACAGGUGUGAAAUCCCCGGGCUUAACCUGGGAACUGCGCUUGUGACUGCACAGCUAGAGUAUGGCAGAGGGGGGUGGAAUUCCACGUGUAGCAGUGAAAUGCGUAGAGAUGUGGAGGAACACCGAUGGCGAAGGCAGCCCCCUGGGCCAAUACUGACGCUCAUGCACGAAAGCGUGGGGAGCAAACAGGAUUAGAUACCCCCGUAGUCCCUGUCUCUUAUAC